GAUGAACGCUGGCGGCGUGCCUAAUACAUGCAAGUAGAACGCUGAAGGAAGGAGCUUGCUCUUUCCGGAUGAGUUGCGAACGGGUGAGUAACGCGUAGGUAACCUGCCUGGUAGCGGGGGAUAACUAUUGGAAACGAUAGCUAAUACCGCAUAACAGUAGAUGUUGCAUGAUAUUUACUUAAAAGGUGCAAUUGCACCACUACCUGAUGGACCUGCGUUGUAUUAGCUAGGUGGUGAGGUAACCGCUCAACAAGGCGGCGAUACAGAGCCGACCUGAGAGGGUGGACGGGCACACUGGGACUGGGACACGGCCCAGACUCCUACAGGGAGGAGCAGUAGGGAAUCUUCGGGAAUGGACGGAAGUCUGACCGAGCAACGGCGCGUGAGUGAAGAAGGUGUUCGGAUCGGAAAGCUCUGUUGUAAGGGAAGAAAGAGUGGGAGAGGGGAAAGUGCACACUGUGACGGUAUCUUACCAGAAAGGGACGGCUAACUACGUG
Molecule: ribosomal RNA, 497 nt
Filed under: uncultured bacterium
Lineage: Bacteria
Description: partial 16S ribosomal RNA
Rfam family: Bacterial small subunit ribosomal RNA
Source: RNAcentral